This 136-nucleotide non-coding RNA is filed under the name Paraburkholderia phenazinium. RNAcentral's name for it is "SAH sequence". It matches the Rfam family "SAH (S-adenosyl-L-homocysteine) riboswitch aptamer". Lineage: Bacteria; Pseudomonadati; Pseudomonadota; Betaproteobacteria; Burkholderiales; Burkholderiaceae. The record is from Rfam by way of RNAcentral.
GUCUUCGAGGAGCGUUGCGACGGGUACCGCGAAUCUGCAUUCGCUGGCCGCCCGCCAGGCUCGGAGGCUUUCAAUCGGACGGCUUGAAUGCGCGCAGCGCUUUUCAAGGCGCCCCAUCGAACCGCGCUCACGUCAA